AGAGUUUGAUCCUAGCUCAGGGUUAACGCUGGCGGCGUGCCUAACACAUGCAAGUCGAACGAGGGCUUCUCCUCCGCAAGGAGGUGGAGUUCCUAGUGGCAAACGGGUGAGUAACACGUGGGCAACCCGCCCUGUCGUGGGGGAUACCACCGGGAAACCGGUGUUAAUACCGCAUGAGGUCGUCCAUCGCAUGGUGGGCGAAGAAAGCAGUGAUGCGCGACAGGAAGGGCCCGCGGCCUAUCAGCUAGUCGGUGGGGUAACGGCCUACCGAGGCUAUGACGGGUAGCUGGUCUGAGAGGACGACCAGCCACACGGGGACUGAGACACGGCCCAGACUCCUACGGGAGGCAGCAGUUAGGAAUUUUGCGCAAUGGGGGAAACCCUGACGCAGCCACGCCGCGUGCGGGAUGAAGGCCUUCGGGUCGUAAACCGCUUUUCUCAAGGAAGACACCCGACGGUACUUGAGGAAUAAGCAACGGCUAACUACGUGCCAGCAGCCGCGGUAAUACGUAGGUUGCGAGCGUUGUCCGGAUUUACUGGGCGUAAAGCGCGCGCAGGCGGUUCCGAAAGUCCAUGGUGAAAGCUCCCGGCCCAACUGGGAGAGGCCCGUGGAAACUCCGGAACUUGAAGGCGGGAGAGGCAAAUGGAAUUUCCGGUGUAGCGGUAAAAUGCGUAGAUACCGGAAGGAACACCAGUGGCGAAGGCGAUUUGCUGGCCCGUUCUUGACGCUCAGGCGCGAAAGCUAGGGUAGCGACCGGGAUUAGAUACCCCGUUAGUCCUAGCCGUAAACGAUGGGCACUAGGUGUUGUCGGUAUCGACCCCGGCAGUGCCGUAGCUAACGCAUUAAGUGCCCCGCCUGGGGAGUACGACCGCAAGGUUAAAACUCAAAGAAAUUGACGGGGGCCCGCACAAGCAGCGGAGCGUGCGGUUUAAUUCGAUGGUACGCGAAGAACCUUACCCAGACUUGACAUGUACGUGGUACCGAUCCGAAAGGUGAAGGACCCGCAAGGGAGCGUACACAGGUGUUGCACGGCUGUCGUCAGCUCGUGUCGUGAGAUGUUGGGUUAAGUCCC
This 1073-nucleotide ribosomal RNA is filed under the name sediment metagenome. RNAcentral's name for it is "bacterial SSU rRNA". It matches the Rfam family "Bacterial small subunit ribosomal RNA", at positions 8 to 1088 of the family's 1533-position model. The record is from RNAcentral.